This 440-nucleotide ribosomal RNA is filed under the name uncultured bacterium. Its description in RNAcentral is "bacterial SSU rRNA". It matches the Rfam family "Bacterial small subunit ribosomal RNA", at positions 338 to 795 of the family's 1533-position model. The record is from RNAcentral.
CCUACGGGGGGCAGCAGUGGGGAAUAUUGCACAAUGGGGGAAACCCUGAUGCAGCAACGCCGCGUGAGUGAAGAAGUCAUUCGUGAUGUAAAGCUCUAUCAGCAGGGAAGAAAAUGACGGUACCUGAGUAAGAAGCCCCGGCUAACUACGUGCCAGCAGCCGCGGUAAUACGUAGGGGGCAAGCGUUAUCCGGAUUUACUGGGUGUAAAGGGAGCGUAGACGGCCAGACAAGUCUGAAGUGAAAAUCCAGCGCUUAACGUUGGAAGUGCUUUGGAAACUGCCGGGCUAGAGUGCAGGAGGGGCAGGCGGAAUUCCUAGUGUAGCGGUGAAAUGCGUAGAUAUUAGGAGGAACACCAGUGGCGAAGGCGGCCUGCUGGACUGCAACUGACGUUGAGGCUCGAAGGCGUGGGGAGCAAACAGGAUUAGAUACCCGAGUAGUC